GUAACCGGGAGAAAUCCCGCCUAAUACAACAUAAUGCCGGGAGGGGACAUCCCCUGCCGGCCAAAGGGGGCGACCCCGGUCACGGAUGGGCAUGCGGCGCAUUAGGUAGUUGGUGGGGCAACGGCCCACCAAGCCGACGAUGCGUAGGGGUUCUGAGAGGAAGGUCCCCCACAUUGGAACUGAGCACGGUCCAAACUCCUACGGGAGGCAGCAG
This 214-nucleotide ribosomal RNA is filed under the name uncultured bacterium. RNAcentral's name for it is "partial 16S ribosomal RNA". It matches the Rfam family "Bacterial small subunit ribosomal RNA", at positions 143 to 354 of the family's 1533-position model. The record is from RNAcentral.